This 91-nucleotide ribosomal RNA is filed under the name Terminalia chebula (chebulic myrobalan). RNAcentral describes it as "partial 5.8S ribosomal RNA". It matches the Rfam family "5.8S ribosomal RNA", at positions 64 to 154 of the family's 154-position model. From Rfam's summary of the family: 5.8S ribosomal RNA (5.8S rRNA) is a component of the large subunit of the eukaryotic ribosome. The record is from RNAcentral. Lineage: Eukaryota; Viridiplantae; Streptophyta; Magnoliopsida; Myrtales; Combretaceae.
CUGGUGAAUUGCAGAAUCCCGUGAACCAUCGAGUCUUUGAACGCAAGUUGCGCCCGAGGCCUCGGCCGAGGGCACGUCUGCCUGGGUGUCA